RNAcentral lists this ribosomal RNA (1149 nucleotides) under uncultured organism. RNAcentral describes it as "bacterial SSU rRNA". It matches the Rfam family "Bacterial small subunit ribosomal RNA", at positions 242 to 1391 of the family's 1533-position model. The record is from RNAcentral.
UAGUUAGUUGGUGAGGUAAAGGCUCACCAAGGCGAUGAUGGUUAGGGGUCCUGAGAGGGUAGUCCCCCACACUGGUACUGAGACACGGACCAGACUCCUACGGGAGGCAGCAGUGAGGAAUAUUGGUCAAUGGGCGCUAGCCUGAACCAGCCAUGCCGCGUGCAGGAAGACGGCCCUACGGGUUGUAAACUGCUUUUCUGCAGGAAGAAUAUAUAGUCUUAGGGCUAUAUUGACGGUACUGCAGGAAUAAGCAUCGGCUAACUCCGUGCCAGCAGCCGCGGUAAUACGGAGGAUGCAAGCGUUAUCCGGAUUCAUUGGGUUUAAAGGGUGCGCAGGCUGUAAAGCAAGUCAGUGGUGAAAGCCCUGGGCUUAACUCAGGGAUUGCCAUUGAAACUGUUUUACUAGAGUGUAGUAGAGGACGGCGGAAUGAGUUGUGUAGCGGUGAAAUGCAUAGAUAUAACUCAGAACACCUAUUGCGUAGGCAGCUGUCUAUACUACAACUGACGCUGAGGCACGAAAGCGUGGGGAGCGAACAGGAUUAGAUACCCUGGUAGUCCACGCUGUAAACGAUGAUCACUCGUUGUUGGCUACUUAGUAGUCAGUGACCAAGGGAAACCGAUAAGUGAUCCACCUGGGGAGUACGUCGGCAACGAUGAAACUCAAAGGAAUUGACGGGGGCCCGCACAAGCGGAGGAACAUGUGGUUUAAUUCGAUGAUACGCGAGGAACCUUACCUGGGCUUAAAUGCUGGCUGCAUUGGAGGGAAACCUUCAUUUCCUACGGGACCGCCAGCAAGGUGCUGCAUGGUUGUCGUCAGCUCGUGCCGUGAGGUGUCGGGUUAAGUCCCAUAACGAGCGCAACCCCUAUCGCUAGUUGCCAGCAUGUAAUGGUGGGGACUCUAGCGAGACUGCCGGUGUAAACCGGAGGAAGCUGGGGAUGACGUCAAAUCAGCACGGCCCUUACGUCCAGGGCUACACACGUGUUACAAUGGCCGGUACAAAGAGCAGCCACCUGGCGACAGGGCGCUAAUCUCUAAAACCGGUCUCAGUUCGGAUCGAAGUCUGCAAUUCGACUUCGUGAAGGUGGAUUCGCUAGUAAUCGCGCAUCAGCCAUGGCGCGCCUGACUAAGUUCCCGGGCCUUGUACACACC